CAUGCACUUUUUUCAGGUUUUUACUUUUUAUCUUCAAUUGUGCAGUGUAAAGUAAAUGGAUCAUUUUAUGGCAGAGUUUACUUUUCCGGAAACUUUUUAUGGUAUAAAGUGACAUAAAAUGUGUUGUGAUUGAAUAUGGCUUGAAAAUUUUGCUAUAUAAGGGUGUGAUUCUGUGUUUUCUGAGGCCAAGCUCAUCACUAGCAGCAUCAUGCAGUUCUGACUAUUGUUUAGUUUUUUAGAUGACAACUACCCUUAUUUUUGGGAAAUUUUGUAACUCCCUCUUUGAAUGGAAGAUGAAUCAUUUGGUCUGCAUCUCUUCUUUGUAGGCGUGUAUUGUCUGUCUGUGGAACUCAUGUUAGUGCCAUCUCUGGUAUGGUGUUAAAUCAAUACAUGCUGAAUGAUAUGCUGCACUGUUUCUGGUUCAACUUUGGCUUGUACCUUGGGAUUGAAUGUGCUGCAUGGUUUCCACUUUUACAUACCAUGUGCGUGGGAUUUAUUAUUGAUUGGAGGGGAAUUUUUCUACUAGGUGGUUCAUGACAGAAGGCUUCUUAAUGCUGGACAGGAUUGGGAUAUGGAGACGUUGCACUCCAAGUACUCGACCAAAGUACUAACCAAAGGUAUUUUAGAGUUUGUGUUAUGACUGACCAAAGUUCUGGAAUUGGAUGAAAGCUAAGUGCAAGAAUUUCAGUGCGUCCUUGUGUGAUUGGAUUUCAAAUCCAAGGAGUUGUUUGGACAACCUCUGAAUUCCUCCUUGAUUGAGCUCCUAUGCUGCACUGGAUGUCCCUGGUCUGGAAACUGAAAAAUCAGAUUUGUUUCAGGCUACUGUUAUCACUCUUUUUGAAAGUAUGUGUGUUUUUAUGGGGCAGUACCCUUGCUCUUCAGAUUUCUCAACCUAUCAAGGCUGCAAUGAUCUUUGUGCUUUGUGCAGUAGUAUGUGUUGUCAAGUGGCCUAUGAUGAAUAAAAGUAACUGUUGGAAAUAUAUUGCGGUUGUAUUCCUGUCUUGUACAUAUAUAAACAUGCAUUGAAGUUUGCUGUGACUGUUACCAUGUUCCAUAAGGUAAAAUCUAUAAUGUAAUUUUGAUUUUGGACUUCCAAUAUAUAAAUGUCACAAUUUCUGAUAA
Molecule: long non-coding RNA, 1122 nt
Organism: Lotus japonicus
Lineage: Eukaryota; Viridiplantae; Streptophyta; Magnoliopsida; Fabales; Fabaceae
Exons: 2
Source: RefSeq, a predicted model, not a curated record